UCGGGUUGUAAAGCACUUUUGUCCGGAAAGAAAACUUCUGCAUUAAUACUGCGGGAGGAUGACGGUACCGGAAGAAUAAGCACCGGCUAACUACGUGCCAGCAGCGCGGUAAUCGUAGGGUGCGAGCGUUAAUCGGAAUUACUGGGCGUAAAGCGUGCGCGGGCGGUUCGUUAAGACAGAUGUGAAAUCCCCGGGCUUAACCUGGGAACUGCAUUUGUGACUGGCGAGCUAGAGUAUGGCAGAGGGGGGUAGAAUUCCACGUGUAGCAGUGAAAUGCGUAGAGAUGUGGAGGAAUACCGAUGGCGAAGGCAGCCCCCUGGGCCAAUACUGACGCUCAUGCACGAAAGCGUGGGGAGCAAACAGGAUUAGAUACCCUGGUAGUCCACGCCCUAAACGAUGUCAACUAGUUGUUGGGGAUUCAUUUCCUUAGUAACGUAGCUAACGCGUGAAGUUGACCGCCUGGGGAGUACGGUCGCAAGAUUAAAACUCAAAGGAAUUGACGGGGACCCGCACAAGCGGUGGAUGAAUGUGGAUUAAUUCGAUGCAACGCGAAAAACCUUACCUACCCUUGACAUGGUCGGAACCCUGCUG
RNAcentral lists this ribosomal RNA (591 nucleotides) under uncultured Burkholderia sp. RNAcentral's name for it is "bacterial SSU rRNA". It matches the Rfam family "Bacterial small subunit ribosomal RNA", at positions 418 to 1003 of the family's 1533-position model. The record is from RNAcentral. Lineage: Bacteria; Pseudomonadati; Pseudomonadota; Betaproteobacteria; Burkholderiales; Burkholderiaceae.